UUCAGUACAUUUGGAGAGCUGAAGACAGUUCGUCUGUCAAAGACAGUGAUUGGUGGAGCCCACCGUGGUUUUGGCUUUACUGACUUCCUCACUAAACAGGAUGCCAAGAAAGCCUUUGAAGCACUGUGCCACAGUACCCAUCUUUAUGGCUGGAAGCUGGUGUUGAAGUGAGCAGACGCAGAGGAGACUGUGGCCAAUCUGCGACUGAAAACUGCUCAACACUUCCACAUGCUCCUAUGAAUCAUAAGAAGGUGGAGGUGUUAGAUGCUUGAAGCAGAUGGAGUUCAGGGAAGAAGACAUGAAUGAACAGCAGCUGUCAGUCACUACAACAUCAAUAAGACAGUAAAUCAUCCAGUGGAACUCAUUUUUCUCUAUUAUGACUCUGUCUUAAGCAGCUGCUUUGCAGUCUGUUCAGGAAUCCUUCCUUUUGGCCUCAGAUGCUCCCAAUUAGCUUUUUAUUAGAUACUCAUACAUCAUCCCUGUUAUUGCUGUCAAUGAAUUAAACACAGCGUUUCUCUACAGACCAGCUCCGGUUGAAGGUGAAGUCAACGACUGAGUCCUCUGAAAAGAUGCCCAAAGGCCACGUUUCCUUUAGCUGUUUUUAAAUAGUCAUGGAGGGCCAAGCCAUUUCGUACUCUGCUGCGUCAUGGGUGACUUUGAAGAAUCACAAUGUUAUUGAUGCAAAACAAUAUUUGAAAGCAGAAACUCUAAAUAAAAAGUACAUUUCUGAUGUUGCUUUUAACAUCUUUUAUCAACAUCAAGUAUGUCUGUUGUCUUAAAAUGACAGUUUUGUCAUCAUUUACUCAUCUUCAUGUUUCAAACCAGUAUGACUUUAGAGGUUUGGCAGAAUGUAAGUCUCAGUCACCAUUCACUUUCAUUGCAUCUUUUUUCCGUACAAUAAAAGUGAAUGGUGGUCAUUCUACCUAACGUCGCCUUUUGUGUUCAAUGGAAGAAAGUAAAUACAGGAUUGAAACAACAUGAGUAAAUUACAAAAUAUUAAUUUGGGAUGAAAUCUACCUUUACAUAAGAAUUGUACACUUUCUUUUUGUACACCUAUUUGUGUUCAACAAAUGACAAGUCCUUUCACAUUGUUGGGAUCAUACUGUAUUUAUUGAAGUGACAAUAAAUAGUUUUGUCUGUUAAAGAAAUUGUUCCUAUUUUAGGUUGUAUUCAUACUAGAAAUGUCACAUUUUAAAAUCUGCUAUUUGUACAGUUAAGAGGUCAAAACAGUCUUGGUCUACACAGAGAUGCCUUACACACCACAUAAUGUACAUUAUAGUGUACUGCAUCACAAGGGUUUUGCAAGGAGAAGGGCAUGACAUCAUUGUAAUGUUGCUUCUAUAGACUAGCCUGUUAUGUCAUCUGUCAUCAUAUUCUUCUAAUUUGCUCUUUCAAUCAUUUCCUGAUUUAUUAAAGGGAUAUUACACCCAAAAAUGAAAAUUCUGUCAUGUACGCAAUCACUUUUGUUCCGAACCCAUAUUUCUUUAUUCCAUAUAACGUCAUUUUUUUCAAAUUUGUCAUGUGACAAAUAAGGACAAGGCAAGUUUGAAAAUGUGGAACUGUGAUUUAAAUUUUAGAGCUACAGAGGAGGGGAAGAUUAUCAGUGAAUAAUGUCUUAAAUUUUAAUUUUCUUAAAUAAUAUCUGUUCCUCACACAAAGCAGUUGUAUGGACUACUUUUAUGGUGAUUUUUGGAACUCGACAGGCUGUGGUCACUAUAUACUUUCAUUACAUGGAAAAGAGCAUUCCGGAGGUUCUUCAAAUAGUUUGCUAUGAAAGAAAGUCAUACAGGUUUGGAACGACAAGAGAGUGAGUAAUAAUGGUGAGCUAUCCCUUUUAAGCAUUUUAAACACAUUGUCUCUUCUGCGAGUCCAUCACAGCUAAUGCGGCCAACAAAACAUUUGUGCAGCCAAAUGCAAUCAUUUAUAUAAACUUCCUUUAUUUUUUAACCCAGUAUAAACAGAGAACCUUAGAGGGGAAAAAAACAGUAUGGAUCAAUAAAUGGAUAUCUGAUAAAGCCAAGAAGUUUGGUGGAAAUCACCGGUUUCAAGAAAGACCGUUCUGGCUAUGGUACACAAACCAAUGCACACAUCUUCAGAAAUGGACGACUGAAUUGUAUCAUUAAUCAAAAGGAUGUCAUUACCAAAUGAAUUGAGAUGGAAAUGAAUACAACCACAUGCAGAGCCACGUUAAGCUUAUAAACAUCAAUUCUUUAGAUAAAACGGAUGAGUUUGUGGGAAACUUUGAUGUCCACUUAAAUAUAAAUUAUCUGGAAUAUACAAAAAGCAUUUACAUGUACAUUUGUUUAGAGCUCCACAUGUUCUUAAGUAGUAUGUCUACUAGCCUAUUUGCCUCUCAAUAUAUGUCAAGCUACUUUACCGCUGUCCCACAUGGCAUUUAAACAAAUGCAGAAACUGUAGCCGCUACAUUAGAGGUCACACACACACACACACACACACACACACACGCUAACACACUGUAUUGCCUUGAAACAAUGAAUAACAGCAUAAGGCUGUUAUAAUAUGGAACAUGGAAGAAAUAAACUCACACCGGCAACCCAAACCCCAAUCCGAAACCCUGUUUUGAUGUGACCAGGGUCCAAAAUUAACUUUUUGCUAUACAUGUCAUUGCCAAUGACAAGUAAUUUGACACAUUUUAUUUUUCAUUAUUUUUAUUUAAAAAAAUGAUAUUGUCUUUAUACUUUUUGCUCAAUGACAGAAUUAUUGGGUGAACAUUUAAUAUGAGGAAUAGAACUUUUCCACAUACUGUAUGUCACCCCAUGGAGUUCAAGAAAUGCAAGUAGUGGCAAAUGUUUUCCAUAGUAUAUGGGUUGAUUUGAUAAUGAGCUAAAUCAUUAUGGCAAGCCGAAUUGACAUUUAAUCACUUGCAGAAUUGUGACAAGCCGAAUUGACUUUUAAUCACAUGCAGGAUAUUAAUUUUAGAUAUCAACUAUUCAAUUUUCACUAGUAAAAAUGCUAAUUCUUGAGACACUAGAAAUGUCUUAUAUCAGUAAUUACAUAAUAAAAUGGUUAUUCUUGAUAAAGAAAAUUACAUCACCAAGAAAUGCUCAUUCUUGACAUCAAAAAUAUAAUUUCAACUAGUAAAAAGCUAUUACUUAUAUCUGUUACUGCAUUUUCACUAGUAGAACUUCACUCAUGUUCAAAUGCAGUUACAGAUAUUAAAUUAUUGUUCAAAUUCCAAAAUACACAUAUCAGCUAUGUAUUUCCUACUAGUAAAAAUGAUAAUGUUUGAUAGCAAUAAUUACAUUGCUUCAAGUGAAAAUGUGCAUGCCUUAUAUGAACAGAUUAAUUACAUCUAGUAAAUAUGCAGAUAUAAAUUAUUGCAGAUAUCAAAAAAUAGGAUGUUCAAUUCCUGUAAUUCAGUUCUUGACAUCAGGAAUGGAUAUUUGUACUUGUAAGAAUGUAAUUAUUGACAUAAAAAAAUGACAUUUUUACUAGUGCAAACCUAAUUACAAAUCCAAAAUUAGCAUUUACACUAGCAGUAAUUCUAUUCAUGAUAACAAGAAUUAGCAUUGAAUCUUGUUAAAAUUAGGUUAUAGAUAUCUAUAAUUCAUAUCCUGCAUGUGAUUAUACAGUAUGUUGAAAGGACUUGCGAUAAUCUCAGCAAGGGUGUAUUAUGUUGCAUUUAUUAAACCAUAUUUUAUGUUCCUAAUAAAGUUAACAGCCAGCUCUUGAGGAUCUCUUUUUUUUUUUACUCAUCAAAGCCAAUAUUUACUCAUAUUUAGCACUUGCCAAGAGUUAUUUUGGACCCUGGACUUGACGAUGACCCCAGCCUUCUGCUCGACGCAGUCAUAAUAACUAACCACUCACAGUCCUGGCGUCCAGCACUUACCUAGGUAACGCUAAUAAAUAUGUAUUAAGGCUUUUUCAGGACCUGAGGAUUUCAAAACACACAAUGAGGCACACAAAAGGCAAAGAACAGGUCUAAAUGCGAUACAUAACAACAGAGAAGCAGAGAAUGACGGAAAAGUAGAGCCACAUGAACGCCCAGUUUCCAGUACAAAAUAAAUCAUCAAAGUUUGCUGCUGACCAGUAAGAAUGGAGGUGACAAAGACACCAAGCACGGACCUUCAAAGAUGCCCAUCUUGGCCUUGUAGCAGCAGUUCCAGCAGUUCAGAGUUCUUGGUCAGUGUUUGCGUAUAUUUUUUUGUUUGUUCACUUUCUUUCUGACGUGAUUUCAGUGCAAGUAUUCUCAUGUCGUAAACAGUAGUUAGUCCUUGGAGAGUCUUUGCUUGGAGAAGGACCUCAGAAGACCGUCACCACAAAUUAUGAUGAUUAGUUUGUUUUCAGUCAAAUAUGUCUUGCUCUAAAUGAUUAAGGUUCACACAUCUGCAUUCUCAUUCAAAACAUUGUACAUGACAUGCAUCUAAAGCAGUUCCUACACACCCCGCCUACAAUUAAAGA
This is a long non-coding RNA of Xyrauchen texanus (razorback sucker), 4422 nucleotides long. RefSeq lists it as uncharacterized. The record is from RefSeq and is a predicted model, not a curated record. The transcript is spliced from 3 exons. Lineage: Eukaryota; Metazoa; Chordata; Actinopteri; Cypriniformes; Catostomidae.